This 537-nucleotide ribosomal RNA is filed under the name uncultured Alkanindiges sp. Its description in RNAcentral is "bacterial SSU rRNA". It matches the Rfam family "Bacterial small subunit ribosomal RNA", at positions 87 to 619 of the family's 1533-position model. Lineage: Bacteria; Pseudomonadati; Pseudomonadota; Gammaproteobacteria; Moraxellales; Moraxellaceae. The record is from RNAcentral.
UAUAGUUAGCGGCGAACGGGUGAGUAAUGCCUAGGAAUCUGCCCAUUAGCGGGGGAUAACGUUCCGAAAGGAACGCUAAUACCGCAUACGCCCUACGGGGGAAAGCAGGGGAUCUUCGGACCUUGCACUAAUGGAUGAGCCUAGGUCAGAUUAGCUAGUUGGUGAGGUAAUGGCUCACCAAGGCGACGAUCUGUAGCGGGUCUGAGAGGAUGAUCCGCCACACUGGAACUGAGACACGGUCCAGACUCCUACGGGAGGCAGCAGUGGGGAAUAUUGGACAAUGGGCGCAAGCCUGAUCCAGCCAUACCGCGUGUGUGAAGAAGGCCUUUUGGUUGUAAAGCACUUUAAGUGAGGAGGAGGGCACUUUGGCUAAUACCCGAAUGUGUCGGACGUUACUCGCAGAAUAAGCACCGGCUAACUCUGUGCCAGCAGCCGCGGUAAUACAGAGGGUGCGAGCGUUAAUCGGAAUUACUGGGCGUAAAGCGCGCGUAGGCGGCUUGUUAAGUCGGAUGUGAAAUCCCCGGGCUCAACCUGGGC